Molecule: unclassified non-coding RNA, 217 nt
Filed under: air metagenome
Description: partial contains small subunit ribosomal RNA, internal transcribed spacer 1, and 5.8S ribosomal RNA
Rfam family: Eukaryotic small subunit ribosomal RNA (bases 1-46)
Source: RNAcentral
AAGUCGUAACAAGGUUUCCGUAGGUGAACCUGCGGAAGGAUCAUUACAGUUGGGGCCCCGCCCCGAUCAAGAUACCACCCCUUGCUUUUUGAGUACCUCUGUUUCCUCGGCGGGCUCGCCCGCCAACGGGGACCACAAAGAAACCUCUUGCAGUUGCAGUAAACGUCAUAAAUCAAAACAAAAAUCAAAACUUUCAACAACGGAUCUCUUGGUUCUG